CGCGCGAGUCGUUGGGCAGUACGAAACCCGAAGGCGCAGUGAAAGCGAGGGCCGCCUUCGACGGUGGCUGAGGUGGGAUCCGGCUUCCUCGCAAAAGGAGCCGGCGCACCACCGGCCCGUCUCGACCGCGGCGUCGGUGAGGCGGAGCAGGAGCGUGCACGUUGGGACCCGAAAGAUGGUGAACUAUGCCUGAGUAGGACGAAGCCAGAGGAAACUCUGGUGGAGGUCCGCAGCGAUUCUGACGUGCAAAUCGAUCGUCAAACUUGGGUAUAGGGGCGAAAGACUAAUCGAACCAUCUAGUAGCUGGUUCCCUC
RNAcentral lists this ribosomal RNA (314 nucleotides) under Tropidophora sp. ansn28. RNAcentral describes it as "eukaryotic LSU rRNA". It matches the Rfam family "Eukaryotic large subunit ribosomal RNA", at positions 683 to 961 of the family's 3401-position model. Lineage: Eukaryota; Metazoa; Mollusca; Gastropoda; Littorinimorpha; Pomatiidae. The record is from RNAcentral.